CAGCCGUAAACUAUGCGCGUUAGGUGUAUCGGUGACCACGAGUUACCGAGGUGCCGAAGGGAAACCGUGAAACGUGCCGCCUGGGAAGUACGGUCGCAAGGCUGAAACUUAAAGGAAUUGGCGGGAGGCACCACAACAGGUGGAGCCUGCGGUUUAAUUUGGACUCAACGCCGGGAAGCUCACCGGAUAGGACAGCAGAAUGAUUGCCGGGCUGAAGACCCUGCAUGACUAGCUGAGAGGAGGUGCAUGGCGUCAGUG
Molecule: ribosomal RNA, 258 nt
Filed under: uncultured archaeon
Lineage: Archaea
Description: partial 16S ribosomal RNA
Rfam family: Archaeal small subunit ribosomal RNA
Source: RNAcentral